AUCCAGUUGACGAGUCCUAAAUAGGGCGAAACGCACGUCCUGGAU
Molecule: non-coding RNA, 45 nt
Filed under: Schistosoma mansoni
Lineage: Eukaryota; Metazoa; Platyhelminthes; Trematoda; Strigeidida; Schistosomatidae
Source: RNAcentral